This 556-nucleotide small RNA is filed under the name Xylaria sp. 7061021. RNAcentral's name for it is "eukaryotic LSU rRNA". It matches the Rfam family "Eukaryotic large subunit ribosomal RNA", at positions 71 to 651 of the family's 3401-position model. Lineage: Eukaryota; Fungi; Ascomycota; Sordariomycetes; Xylariales; Xylariaceae. The record is from RNAcentral. RNAcentral also lists the same sequence under 1 other name.
GGGAUUGCCCUAGUAACGGCGAGUGAAGCGGCAACAGCUCAAAUUUGAAAUCUGGCCCUCGGGUCCGAAUUGUAAUUUGUAGAGGAUGCUUUUGGCGCGGUGCCUACCGAGUUCCCUGGAACGGGACGCCUUAGAGGGUGAGAGCCCCGUACGGUUGGACACCAAGCCUCUGUAAAGCUCCUUCGACGAGUCGAGUAGUUUGGGAAUGCUGCUCUAAAUGGGAGGUAAAUUUCUUCUAAAGCUAAAUAUUGGCCAGAGACCGAUAGCGCACAAGUAGAGUGAUCGAAAGAUGAAAAGCACUUUGAAAAGAGGGUUAAAUAGCACGUGAAAUUGUUGAAAGGGAAGCGUUUACGACCAGACCUUUUCCCGGCGGAUCAUCCGGUGUUCUCACCGGUGCACUUCGCCGGGUUUAGGCCAGCAUCGGUUUUUGUAGGGGGAUAAAAGCUUUGGGAACGUAGCUCUUUCGGGAGUGUUAUAGCCCUUUGCAUAAUACCCUUACGGGGACCGAGGACCGCGCUUCUGCAAGGAUGCUGGCGUAAUGGUCGUCAACGACCCG